This 21-nucleotide microRNA is filed under the name Bombyx mori (domestic silkworm). RNAcentral describes it as "bmo-miR-2807c-3p". The record is from miRBase by way of RNAcentral. Lineage: Eukaryota; Metazoa; Arthropoda; Insecta; Lepidoptera; Bombycidae.
UCAUAUUUCGCAUUGUUGACG